Molecule: ribosomal RNA, 253 nt
Filed under: uncultured bacterium
Lineage: Bacteria
Description: partial 16S ribosomal RNA
Rfam family: Bacterial small subunit ribosomal RNA
Source: RNAcentral
GACGGAGGGUGCUAGCGUUGUUCGGAAUUACUGGGCGUAAAGGGCGCGUAGGCGGCUGCUCAAGUCGGGUGUGAAAGCCCGGGGCUCAACCCCGGAACGGCACCCGAGACUGGGCGGCUCGAGACCGGGAGAGGUGGGUGGAAUACCCAGUGUAGAGGUGAAAUUCGUAGAUAUUGGGUGGAACACCGGUGGCGAAAGCGGCUCACUGGCCCGGUUCUGACGCUGAGGCGCGAAAGCGUGGGGAGCAAGCGGG